UCCAGCUUUGUAACGCGCAUGUCUACUCAUUUAACUCACGAAAAGAAAGCAAAUAUCGGCGUAUUUCCCAAAAUGUUGAAUAAUACCUUUAAAAUUAAUGUCUGAAUUGACUAAAAGAACUGUCAGUACUUCAUUCCCUGGUCUCUCUGAGUGGCUACUUACAGUUUAUUUAAUAUAAAUUCCUCAGAAUGUGGAUUUUUCAAAGGAAACUGGACCCAAAAAUAAUGCAUAUCACUCCUGCUAUUGUGUUAAACAGCAACUGUCCCAUUUUUCUGGCAGUAAAAUAUGCCAGAAAUAAGCAAGACCUGAACAGCAAUUUGGUAUAUUUAUGUUGAAAACAGGUGAUUACUAUCAAAGCCUCGGAUCCCAUAUGACCGUAAUGUUUGAAUAUACAAUUUAAGCCUAAGAAUAUACAGUGCACAGGACCUGCCUGUUUCUCCUCAGAGAGGCAAGUCUGGAGGGUCUGCAAAAACAGGCCAAGCUGCUCUUAAAAUGGCCACCAGUGUGAGAGAUUUAUCACACAACCUGCACACUAGUAAAAAGAGAUCAUUUGCUCCCCUUCCUCCAUACAUAAACUGCUAUCUCAUUCCGGGGGGCAUAACAUUUAUUAUGGCAUACUUUCUGCCUCUUCAUCCUACCCCCUUUACCCAGACAUGGUGUUGUGUAGUAACAAGGAAAUUUAUCACUCAGUUUUAUGCAUCAGUACAGAUGUCUCGGACAGGAGUCACAGUGAUGGCUAAUCGUAUACUGUCAGUUACAGUUAGCAUCACAUUAGCAUAAAUGCUUACAGGUCAGGUAUGUGCCAACUUGAGGGCAGAAACAUAAAGGUGAGGUCAAUCAGAAAACAUGCUUUAGUUUGGAGGCUCCAAAACACCAAACGGAUCAAGGAACUGUUCUGUCUCUGAAACAAAUAGCAGCAGACAGGCUGUCAUAAAAGAACACACAGCAUAUCACAAUUCCAAUCCUGCAGGUUCAGAAAACCAGCUGUCUGUUCUUAUUUGUCCAUAUGUCCCCUUUAGUAUCUAUGACACGAGGGUGGACUUUUGUAAAUGAGGCCCUUGCCACAAUGUUUUGUAGUAAUGCUGAUAUUCAGCAAAGCUUGGGUUGAAGCGCGUCAGCCUUUGUUUAACUCACACUGUGUCCUGAAGGAUACGUGUGAGGAGGAUAUAACUGUGCAGUGCAGAAAACAAGAGAGGUCUCCAGCUGUAGCCGCACUAGCUGCUGACAGUCCUUUAAAUAGAAGUACUUGUAGGGUUGUUUUAGACAAAAGUGGGAUCUUUACAUGGUGUUGAGUGUGAGGAUGCACACACACAAGCACAUACACACUUCCCUUCCAUUUUCAAACACACCCUCAAAUCAAUAGCCUGAUUGAAUUUGGUUCUCCCCUUCUUGCUCCCCAGGGGUCCUGUUGAUUGGGCUUGGCAAACGCAAUGUUGUGUGUGUGUGUGUAACAGAGAGAGAGAGUAUAAAUGUGUGUGUUUCUUUCAUUGUACACACAGCAAAGUAACGAUUCUGAUCUGCAUUCUGAGAGGCUCUCCAGUCCCCAGAGCAAAAUCAAGACACGCCUUUUCCACACAUCUUGACGAAUCGCUACCCGUAAGGUCCAAAACUCCUCACUCGGCCAUGUCCGGAAGUCUCUGACAGUCAGCAGAGGAAAUCGCCUACAGUUGAUGUAUCGAGUUAAUCUGAUAAACACUUGGCAUACUCGCUACUCGCCUUAUAUUUCAGUGAAUAACACACUGUGGUCUCCCUUUUCAUCAGCCCUCCUGUAUGAAAAAGGACAAUAUCCUGCUGUCAGCCCUCAGGCAUAUACUGGGAAUGUCAACUCAAACUGUCACCAUGGGGAGUCAAAGAUGGAGGAGGGAUGGUGGGGAGGAAGCACAGGGGUAAGAGGAGGAGGAGAAGGAAGAUGAGAAAGGGAGGAUGCCACAACAAUCAGCGUCCUGCAGACAGUGGCAUGCAGUCCCACUCUGUGGGGGAGUGGUGAUGACAUCAGAGGAGCAGCAGGAACAGCCCGCUGACUCUCAUCAUACAGAGACAGGGUGGUUGCACCCACAGCAGUGUGCGGGACCUGAGGGCUGCCACACAUACACCUGAGCCAUGGCGGGCAGUCAGUGAGGCUGAGAGUUUGUUGCUUGAACUUUUGGAGAAAGUGAACUGUCUGGGCAAGCAGAGGUGCUGUCAAGACAGACUGAUGUUUCCUUUUGCAAUAUUGUGUGUGUGUGUGAGUGGUCAAAUAAUAAAAUACAUUGUCUGCAAGCUGUGUCUUGGCAUCUGCCUUGUAACCAGGGAGUCUGGUAGCGAAGGCAUGCUACACAUUGAUGUAGAAGUUCUCUCUCUCUCUUUGUCUCUUUAUGUGUCUCUGAUGCACACAGAUAUUCUUUAUUUCAGCAAUGUCUUUAUUUCAAAGGAUAAUACUUUACUCAUGAUAAUACAUCAUAUCUAGUACAUUUUAAAGGGAAAAUGUGGUCAUAGCAAAACUGCAGGAGAAAUUUUAAAUCACAGCUUUCAACAUUUUUCUAGCCACGCUAGCAGCGUGGUUCUAGGGAUGGCAAUGUCGGUUUGUUGGUCGAUAACUCUGGUCUAGACUGAAAUAUACUAACAGCUAUUGGAUGGGUUGGAAGAGGGAAACGUACUGAGGUCAGUUUCUACUGAACACAGGAAACAAACAUCCUGCCAAGUACUGUAAAUUAUAAGCUGCUCAAUACAAACAGCAACAGUUUAACGCAAACUUUUCACCCUCGCUCAGCAAUAACAUCAGCCCUCAGGUAGUUAGUCACUAUCCAGGAUGAGAAAUCAAUGGCAGACUGCAGUCUGGUUUCACUUGGCUGAGAGGAGAACAUUUAGGCCUGCUUCGACAAAUGCUGUUGUGCACUGCUGUCCGGACACCGACACAGCUCACAGCUUGUUAAUGUGCUGCUGCUUAAAGUAGGAGGUUAUUUGUCUUAUGUUUUGGACUUUGGCCAACUUUUGCAUUUGAAAACCUAACUUACUAGAGGGAGAAAUUCGGCAUCGACAGCAAAAUAUACAAAUCUUUAUGUUUUUGUUUGCUGCUGUUUAGCAGAAUGGCAUUUUUGUGCAUUAUGUCAGUGUGAUGCCUCCACGUGACCUGAGUCACUGCUGUGCACUUUGCUUUUCUCCUCCACCCAUCACUGUAUGUAUUUACACCCGAGGGACAAUAUGGAUGGCCAGUGGGCAAUGACACCAAACACACACAAAUGCGCAAACCUCCAAACACUCAAAAGGUGAGCAAAUAUUUUCCUCACCAUGGGGAAUUCUAUUAAGUUUUAUGAAAGUGAAAUGAAACCACACACACAGGUGAUGAGCCAAUAUUGCCAUGACUGGGGGGAGUUGUGUUUAAUAACUUACUGAGGGAAAGUGUUUCCAUAGGUGGGCGGAAGCAACUUUCUCAGAGUAAACCGUGGGUGGAGAGAUCAGCGUCCUGAAGCUUCCACACAAAUGGAGGGAGAUGAGAGGCAGAGAGACCUUGGCUAGUGUGGCAAUAGAUCCUGGUAAUAUAAGCAUGAAUUUUCUGUCAUGGUCUGGCUUUGACUCUCCUUCAUCCCUAGUGUUUCCAGCUGUUCUCCCCCUUCCCUUGUGUUUCCUGUUUAUGUCUGUAUCUCUGUGUGUGGGAUCUGGUCUAAGCGUGGCCUUCAUUCACUCUCCUACACACCUGCAACCAACUACCAAUCAAUCCUUGCCACCAAGCAUCCUGCACACCUGUGAUCCAUCCAAUCGUCCAGCUCCAGCAGUAUAUAGCCAGAUCGUCAGUUAACCUAAGUGGUACACAGACAUGGUCAAGUUAUCUGCAUGUUGUUUCUGUGUGUCUUUGGCUCUCCUGGUAACCUGUGUUUCUCCUUGCGAACCUGCCUGCCUACCUGGAUUUACGCUCUUAUGUGUAUUCGUUUGCCGAUAACCUGCCUGACGCCCAGACUCUGUGUCAAUUCAAGACAGCCUGCCAAACCAGACAACACCACUGCGAGAUCUCAGUCCACACUCAAGCCAUUCUGCUAUCUGUGUGUGAAAUAAACUCUGAGUCUUCGUC
This is a long non-coding RNA of Siniperca chuatsi (mandarin fish), 4045 nucleotides long. RefSeq lists it as uncharacterized. NCBI's taxonomy places the organism in Eukaryota, Metazoa, Chordata, Actinopteri, Centrarchiformes, Sinipercidae. The transcript has 4 exons. The record is from RefSeq and is a predicted model, not a curated record.